GACGUAGGGGGCGAGCGUUGUCCGGAUUCAUUGGGCGUAAAGCGCGCGCAGGCGGCUUGGUUAGUCGGAUGUGAAAAUCCGGGGCUCAACCCCGGACCUGCAUCCGAUACUGCCAGGCUAGAGGCAGGUAGGGGAGAUCGGAAUUCCUGGUGUAGCGGUGGAAUGCGUAGAGAUCCGGAAGAACACCGGAGGCGAAGGCGGCUUGCUGGGCGUGAUCUGACGCUGAGGCGCGAAAGCGUGGGGAGCGAACAGG
RNAcentral lists this ribosomal RNA (253 nucleotides) under uncultured bacterium. RNAcentral's name for it is "partial 16S ribosomal RNA". It matches the Rfam family "Bacterial small subunit ribosomal RNA", at positions 524 to 776 of the family's 1533-position model. The record is from RNAcentral.